RNAcentral lists this ribosomal RNA (253 nucleotides) under uncultured bacterium. Its description in RNAcentral is "partial 16S ribosomal RNA". It matches the Rfam family "Bacterial small subunit ribosomal RNA", at positions 524 to 776 of the family's 1533-position model. The record is from RNAcentral.
AACGUAGGACACAAGCGUUAUCCGGAGUUACUGGGCGUAAAGGGCGCGUAGGCGGCCCGCUAAGUCGAACGUGAAAUCCCCGAGCUCAACUCGGGAACUGCGUCCGAUACUGGCGGGCUUGAAUCCGGGAGAGGGAUGCGGAAUUCCAGGUGUAGCGGUGAAAUGCGUAGAUAUCUGGAGGAACACCGGUGGCGAAAGCGGCUCACUGGACCUCUUCUGACGCUGAGGCACGAAAGCUAGGGUAGCAAACGGG